GAUGAACGCUGGCGGCGUGCCUAAUACAUGCCAGUCGAGCGAACAGACGAGGAACUUGCUCCUCUGACGUUAGCGGCGGACGGGUGAGUAACACGUGGAUAACCUACCUAUAAGACUGGGAUAACUUCGGGAAACCGGAGCUAAUACCGGAUAAUAUAUUGAACCGCAUGGUUCAAUAGUGAAAGACGGUUUUGCUGUCACUUAUAGAUGGAUCCGCGCCGCAUUAGCUAGUUGGUAAGGUAACGGCUUACCAAGGCAACGAUGCGUAGCCGACCUGAGAGGGUGAUCGGCCACACUGGAACUGAAACACGGUCCAGACUCCUAGGGGAGGCAGCAGUAGGGAAUCUUCCGCAAUGGGCGAAAGCCUGACGGAGCAACGCCGCGUGAGUGAUGAAGGUCUUCGGAUCGUAAAACUCUGUUAUUAGGGAAGAACAAAUGUGUAAGUAACUAUGCACGUCUUGACGGUACCUAAUCAGAAAGCCACGGCUAACUACGUG
This 497-nucleotide ribosomal RNA is filed under the name uncultured bacterium. Its description in RNAcentral is "partial 16S ribosomal RNA". It matches the Rfam family "Bacterial small subunit ribosomal RNA", at positions 28 to 507 of the family's 1533-position model. The record is from RNAcentral.